This 497-nucleotide ribosomal RNA is filed under the name uncultured bacterium. RNAcentral describes it as "partial 16S ribosomal RNA". It matches the Rfam family "Bacterial small subunit ribosomal RNA", at positions 28 to 507 of the family's 1533-position model. The record is from RNAcentral.
GGUGAACGCUGGCGGCGUGCCUAAUACAUGCAAGUCGAGCGAACAGACGAGGAGCUUGCUCCUCUGACGUUAGCGGCGGACGGGUGAGUAACACGUGGAUAACCUACCUAUAAGACUGGGAUAACUUCGGGAAACCGGAGCUAAUACCGGAUAAUAUAUUGAACCGCAUGGUUCAAUGGUGAAAGACGGUUUUGCUGUCACUUAUAGAUGGAUCCGCGCCGCAUUAGCUAGUUGGUAAGGUAACGGCUUACCAAGGCAACGAUGCGUAGCCGACCUGAGAGGGUGAUCGGCCACACUGGAACUGAGACACGGUCCAGACUCCUUCGGGAGGCAGCAGUAGGGAAUCUUCCGCAAUGGGCGAAAGCCUGACGGAGCAACGCCGCGUGAGUGAUGAAGGUCUUCGGAUCGUAAAACUCUGUUAUUAGGGAAGAACAAAUGUGUAAGUAACUAUGCACGUCUUGACGGUACCUAAUCAGAAAGCCACGGCUAACUACGUG